Molecule: ribosomal RNA, 253 nt
Filed under: uncultured bacterium
Lineage: Bacteria
Description: partial 16S ribosomal RNA
Rfam family: Bacterial small subunit ribosomal RNA
Source: RNAcentral
UACGAAGGGUGCAAGCGUUACUCGGAAUUACUGGGCGUAAAGCGUGCGUAGGUGGUGAGUUAAGUCUGAUGUGAAAUCCCCGGGCUCAACCUGGGAAUGGCAUUGGAUACUGGCUCGCUAGAGUGCGGUAGAGGGUGGUGGAAUUCCCGGUGUAGCAGUGAAAUGCGUAGAGAUCAGGAGGAACACCGGUGGCGAAGGCGGGUCUCUGGGACGGUACUGACGCUGAGACGCGAAAGCGUGGGGAGCAAACAGG